GUACACUCCUACGGGAGGCAGCAGUGGGGAAUAUUGCACAAUGGGCGCAAGCCUGAUGCAGCGACGCCGCGUGGGGGAUGAAGGCCUUCGGGUUGUAAACUCCUUUCGCUAGGGACGAAGCUUUUUUGUGACGGUACCUAGAUAAGAAGCACCGGCUAACUACGUGCCAGCAGCCGCGGUAAUACGUAGGGUGCGAGCGUUGUCCGGAAUUACUGGGCGUAAAGGGCUCGUAGGUGGUUUGUCGCGUCGUCUGUGAAAUUCUGGGGCUUAACUCCGGGCGUGCAGGCGAUACGGGCAUAACUUGAGUGCUGUAGGGGUAACUGGAAUUCCUGGUGUAGCGGUGAAAUGCGCAGAUAUCAGGAGGAACACCGAUGGCGAAGGCAGGUUACUGGGCAGUUACUGACGCUGAGGACCGAAAGCAUGGGUAGCGAACAGGAUUAGAAACCCUAGUAGUCCC
This 457-nucleotide ribosomal RNA is filed under the name uncultured organism. RNAcentral describes it as "partial 16S ribosomal RNA". It matches the Rfam family "Bacterial small subunit ribosomal RNA", at positions 331 to 797 of the family's 1533-position model. The record is from RNAcentral.